CAUUUUAUUUUAUUAGAGGAACCUGUUAUUUAAUCGACAAUCCACGUUAAAUUUUACUUUAAUUAAAAAUCCAUAUACCGCCAUCUAAAAAACUAAUUUUAUGAUAAUAUUUUAUAAAAAGUUAGGUCAAGGUGUGAUCAACAUUAAAGAAAUAAAUGGGUUACAUUAAAAAUAAUUUAAGGAUUUAACAUAUAAAAACAUGUAAUGAAAAAGGAUUUGAAAGUAAUAAUAAAAUAAUAUUUCAUUAUA
This 249-nucleotide ribosomal RNA is filed under the name Venatrix konei. Its description in RNAcentral is "partial 12S ribosomal RNA". The record is from RNAcentral. Lineage: Eukaryota; Metazoa; Arthropoda; Arachnida; Araneae; Lycosidae.